GACGAACGCUGGCGGCGUGCUUAACACAUGCAAGUCGAACGGAAAGGCCCUGCUUUUGUGGGGUGCUCGAGUGGCGAACGGGUGAGUAACACGUGAGUAACCUGCCCUUGACUUUGGGAUAACUUCAGGAAACUGGGGCUAAUACCGGAUAGGAGCUCCUGCUGCAUGGUGGGGGUUGGAAAGCUUCGGCGGUUGGGGAUGGACUCGCGGCUUAUCAGCUUGUUGGUGGGGUAGUGGCUUACCAAGGCUUUGACGGGUAGCCGGCCUGAGAGGGUGACCGGCCACAUUGGGACUGAGAUACGGCCCAGACUCCUACGGGAGGCAGCAGUGGGGAAUAUUGUACAAUGGGCGGAAGCCUGAUGCAGCAACGCCGCGUGCGGGAUGACGGCCUUCGGGUUGUAAACCGCUUUCGCCUGUGACGAAGCGUGAGUGACGGUAAUGGGUAAAGAAGCACCGGCUAACUACGUG
This 468-nucleotide ribosomal RNA is filed under the name uncultured bacterium. RNAcentral's name for it is "partial 16S ribosomal RNA". It matches the Rfam family "Bacterial small subunit ribosomal RNA", at positions 28 to 507 of the family's 1533-position model. The record is from RNAcentral.